CCUAAAAAUCUAUCUAGUAGAAAACAGGCUCAGAAUGUAACAAACGCCGUAAAUAGUCUUACAUCGAAUGGAAAAAAAAUUCUGAUUUCGCAUUUAACAUGCCUUCACGCUAAUAAUAAUAACUAGGCUUAAGAAUUUUGCGUCGGUGGUUUAGGCCCAACGAGUUAUUAUUGUUAGCAGGUCGGAUCGUUAUACAUGAAUAUAUAAUAACACUUCUAUUCACGUGUACGAUAAAUAUAAAAGGCUUAAUAGUUGGUAUCCGAGACCCAAGUUCGAAUCCUAGUUGACUCACAUUUCCAGCUAAGUUUAUUUCUAAAUGAAAUAAACGAAGCAGGUAGCGUGCUACCUCUCUCUCUCUAAAAAAAAAAAAAGAGAUAAAUAUAAAAGACAAUAUAUAUUAAUACUUCUAUUCACAUGUACGAUAAAUUUAAAUGCAAUAUAUAUUAAUAAUUUAACACCUCUGGUAAAUAUUAACACAAUAAAUAUAAAAGGCACGUUGAGGUGAGAGAUGGAGAUUCAACCCGUUAUAUAAUAUAAAAAUUUAGUGAGAGAUGGGGAUUCAACCUGUUAUAUAACAUAAAAGUUUAAUCCCGAAGGAAUUAAAUAUUGACGCUAAUAUCAUGUUACUUAGAAAAUCCAUCUAAUAAGAAACUGGCUCAGAAAUAUAUGUCGACAAAGUUAUUGUUUGCCAUUUCUCCCUCAUUCUUAAUUUUUACUGUUGCUAUAAAUAUAAUUUAUUAUUUUUAUAGUUUUUCUCUUUUUUUUUUAUCUUUCUUAUAUUUUUAUUCUUAUACUUAUUAUUCAAUUUUUUUUAUUUAUAUUCUUUUUUAUUCUUUGAUUCUUUUUCCAUUUUUUACUUUUUU
Molecule: long non-coding RNA, 863 nt
Filed under: Ananas comosus (pineapple)
Lineage: Eukaryota; Viridiplantae; Streptophyta; Magnoliopsida; Poales; Bromeliaceae
Description: long non-coding RNA (ACOM_LNC001502)
Source: RNAcentral